This 500-nucleotide ribosomal RNA is filed under the name uncultured bacterium. RNAcentral's name for it is "partial 16S ribosomal RNA". It matches the Rfam family "Bacterial small subunit ribosomal RNA", at positions 30 to 523 of the family's 1533-position model. The record is from RNAcentral.
AUUGAACGCUGGCGGCAUGCUUUACACAUGCAAGUCGAACGGUAACAGGGUGCUUGCACCGCUGACGAGUGGCGAACGGGUGAGUAAUGCGUCGGAACGUGCCGAGUAGUGGGGGAUAACGCGGCGAAAGUUGGGCUAAUACCGCAUACGUACUGAGGUAGAAAGUGGGGGACCUUCGGGCCUCACGCUAUUGGAGCGGCCGACGUCUGAUUAGCUAGUAGGUGAGGUAAAGGCUCACCUAGGCGACGAUCAGUAGCGGGUCUGAGAGGAUGAUCCGCCACACUGGGACUGAGACACGGCCCAGACUCCUACGGGAGGCAGCAGUGGGGAAUUUUGGACAAUGGGCGAAAGCCUGAUCCAGCCAUGCCGCGUGUCUGAAGAAGGCCUUCGGGUUGUAAAGGACUUUUGUCAGGGAGGAAAUCCCUAGUGCUAAUAACACUGGGGGAUGACAGUACCUGAAGAAUAAGCACCGGCUAACUACGUGCCAGCCGCCGCCGUAA